GAAACCCGGUGAUCUAGCCAUGGGCAGGUUGAAGGUUGGGUAACACUAACUGGAGGACCGAACCGACUAAUGUUGAAAAAUUAGCGGAUGACUUGUGGCUGGGGGUGAAAGGCCAAUCAAACCGGGAGAUAGCUGGUUCUCCCCGAAAGCUAUUUAGGUAGCGCCUCGUGAAUUCAUCUCCGGGGGUAGAGCACUGUUUCGGCAAGGGGGUCAUCCCGACUUACCAACCCGAUGCAAACUGCGAAUACCGGAGAAUGUUAUCACGGGAGACACACGGCGGGUGCUAACGUCCGUCGUGAAGAGGGAAACAACCCAGACCGCCAGCUAAGGUCCCAAAGUCAUGGUUAAGUGGGAAACGAUGUGGGAAGGCCCAGACAGCCAGGAUGUUGGCUUAGAAGCAGCCAUCAUUUAAAGAAAGCGUAAUAGCUCACUGGUCGAGUCGGCCUGCGCGGAAGAUGUAACGGGGCUAAACCAUGCACCGAAGCUGCGGCAGCGACGCUGAUGCGUUGUUGGGUAGGGGAGCGUUCUGUAAGCCUGCGAAGGUGUGCUGUGAGGCAUGCUGGAGGUAUCAGAAGUGCGAAUGCUGACAUAAGUAACGAUAAAGCGGGUGAAAAGCCCGCUCGCCGGAAGACCAAGGGUUCCUGUCCAACGUUAAUCGGGGCAGGGUGAGUCGACCCCUAAGGCGAGGCCGAAAGGCGUAGUCGAUGGGAAACAGGUUAAUAUUCCUGUACUUGGUGUUACUGCGAAGGGGGGACGGAGAAGGCUAUGUUGGCCGGGCGACGGUUGUCCCGGUUUAAGCGUGUAGGCUGGUUUUCCAGGCAAAUCCGGAAAACUAAGGCUGAGGCGUGAUGACGAGGCACUACGGUGCUGAAGCAACAAAUGCCCUGCUUCCAGGAAAAGCCUCUAAGCAUCAGGUAACAUCAAAUCGUACCCCAAACCGACACAGGUGGUCAGGUAGAGAAUACCAAGGCGCUUGAGAGAACUCGGGUGAAGGAACUAGGCAAAAUGGUGCCGUAACUUCGGGAGAAGGCACGCUGAUAUGUAGGUGAAGUCCCUCGCGGAUGGAGCUGAAAUCAGUCGAAGAUACCAGCUGGCUGCAACUGUUUAUUAAAAACACAGCACUGUGCAAACACGAAAGUGGACGUAUACGGUGUGACGCCUGCCCGGUGCCGGAAGGUUAAUUGAUGGGGUUAGCGCAAGCGAAGCUCUUGAUCGAAGCCCCGGUAAACGGCGGCCGUAACUAUAACGGUCCUAAGGUAGCGAAAUUCCUUGUCGGGUAAGUUCCGACCUGCACGAAUGGCGUAAUGAUGGCCAGGCUGUCUCCACCCGAGACUCAGUGAAAUUGAACUCGCUGUGAAGAUGCAGUGUACCCGCGGCAAGACGGAAAGACCCCGUGAACCUUUACUAUAGCUUGACACUGAACAUUGAGCCUUGAUGUGUAGGAUAGGUGGGAGGCUUUGAAGUGUGGACGCCAGUCUGCAUGGAGCCGACCUUGAAAUACCACCCUUUAAUGUUUGAUGUUCUAACGUUGACCCGUAAUCCGGGUUGCGGACAGUGUCUGGUGGGUAGUUUGACUGGGGCGGUCUCCUCCUAAAGAGUAACGGAGGAGCACGAAGGUUGGCUAAUCCUGGUCGGACAUCAGGAGGUUAGUGCAAUGGCAUAAGCCAGCUUGACUGCGAGCGUGACGGCGCGAGCAGGUGCGAAAGCAGGUCAUAGUGAUCCGGUGGUUCUGAAUGGAAGGGCCAUCGCUCAACGGAUAAAAGGUACUCCGGGGAUAACAGGCUGAUACCGCCCAAGAGUUCAUAUCGACGGCGGUGUUUGGCACCUCGAUGUCGGCUCAUCACAUCCUGGGGCUGAAGUAGGUCCCAAGGGUAUGGCUGUUCGCCAUUUAAAGUGGUACGCGAGCUGGGUUUAGAACGUCGUGAGACAGUUCGGUCCCUAUCUGCCGUGGGCGCUGGAGAACUGAGGGGGGCUGCUCCUAGUACGAGAGGACCGGAGUGGACGCAUCACUGGUGUUCGGGUUGUCAUGCCAAUGGCACUGCCCGGUAGCUAAAUGCGGAAGAGAUAAGUGCUGAAAGCAUCUAAGCACGAAACUUGCCCCGAGAUGAGUUCUCCCUGACUCCUUGAGAGUCCUGAAGGAACGUUGAAGACGACGACGUUGAUAGGCCGGGUGUGUAAGCGCAGCGAUGCGUUGAGCUAACCGGUACUAAUGAACCGUGAGGCUUAACCUUACAACGCCGAAG
RNAcentral lists this ribosomal RNA (2243 nucleotides) under Escherichia coli. Its description in RNAcentral is "partial 23S ribosomal RNA". It matches the Rfam family "Bacterial large subunit ribosomal RNA", at positions 717 to 2925 of the family's 2925-position model. Lineage: Bacteria; Pseudomonadati; Pseudomonadota; Gammaproteobacteria; Enterobacterales; Enterobacteriaceae. The record is from RNAcentral.